GUGGGGCUUGGCAGGCUAUCCGACAGUCAAUAAUCAAGAUUUCUUUAUCAAAGUCUAUCAAAGCUAUUAGAAGAUCUUUUUAAGAUCCAAAAAAUUCUAAAAGACAAAUACAAUCUAAAGAGAGAUACUUUUAGAGAGAGAAAUUUAUAGAUAGAGCGAGAAUUUUCUAAAAAAAAUGGAGAGAGAAAGUGGAAAGAGAAAAGA
RNAcentral lists this long non-coding RNA (204 nucleotides) under Elaeis guineensis (African oil palm). RNAcentral's name for it is "long non-coding RNA (EGUI_LNC033472)". Lineage: Eukaryota; Viridiplantae; Streptophyta; Magnoliopsida; Arecales; Arecaceae. The record is from RNAcentral.